UUGCCCAGGCUGGUCUGGAACUCCUGAGCUGGACCGAUCCUCCUGCCUUGGCCUCCCAAAGUGCUGAGAUUGCAGGAGUAAUUGGGCAGUAUCUUUUAACUGCAGUGGAGAAGUGUCAACACUACUUUGGCUGUGGGACCAGGAUCCUGCUGCCUGGAGGCAGAUUGAUAUUUUUAUUUCACCUUUAAAGGAUGUACAGUAAGGGUGAGAACAUCUCGAUGAAAUCUCUGCAGUAAAUAACUCUUGGAUCCCUUUCCCAUACAAGUGAAAGGACAAAAGGAUGAUAUGCUGAGAUGGCCUCUUCACCUGCACCAAUGCCAGGGCCAGGGUGGGUCUCAGCUACCCACCCCCAGGAAAGAAGCCUCCUCACCAGUCUCAGGAAGAAAAAUCCUAGAGAAGGCUCUGAUUAGACCAACAUGGUCACAUGGCCACCUGUGUAGCAGGAGAGAAAAGGAACACACUGUACGAGAGAGGAGAAGCAGUUCUCUAAGCAGAAGGGAGCUGUUUGUUACUAGAUGAAGGAGACAGAGCACUGGGCAGACAAGUGGAACAGAUGUCCCCUCCAGGGAAAGACCUUGAAUUUCUCCCUUGGACUCUGCUCCUCUCCUAGAGCCUCCUUCCAGUUUGGAAAAAGUUCUCCACUCCCAGUUUGGGUGUAAGGCCUUCACUUACACCCAAGUGUAACUGUGUAAGGCAAUCCUGUUUGAGGUCUGUCAAUCUGAGCUUGACCUUGGCUCUAUGAGCCCUUACUGGGUGGGGGUCUCAGGCAAGUCUGUGCCAUGCAUUUCCUCAUUGCACAUGGGGAUGACAAUGACUGU
This 818-nucleotide long non-coding RNA is filed under the name Homo sapiens (human). RNAcentral's name for it is "HSALNT0389435". The record is from RNAcentral. Lineage: Eukaryota; Metazoa; Chordata; Mammalia; Primates; Hominidae.